This 253-nucleotide ribosomal RNA is filed under the name uncultured bacterium. Its description in RNAcentral is "partial 16S ribosomal RNA". It matches the Rfam family "Bacterial small subunit ribosomal RNA", at positions 524 to 776 of the family's 1533-position model. The record is from RNAcentral.
UACGUAGGGUGCGAGCGUUAAUCGGAAUUACUGGGCGUAAAGCGUGCGCAGGCGGCUUUGUAAGUCAGAUGUGAAAUCCCCGGGCUUAACCUGGGAAUGGCAUUUGGGACUGCAAGGCUCGAGUGCGGCAGAGGAGACUGGAAUUCCUGGUGUAGCAGUGAAAUGCGUAGAUAUCAGGAGGAACACCGAUGGCGAAGGCAGGUCUCUGGGCUGACACUGACGCUCAUGCACGAAAGCGUGGGGAGCAAAAGGG